Molecule: ribosomal RNA, 569 nt
Filed under: [Candida] boidinii
Lineage: Eukaryota; Fungi; Ascomycota; Pichiomycetes; Pichiales; Pichiaceae
Description: LSU rRNA
Rfam family: Eukaryotic large subunit ribosomal RNA
Source: RNAcentral
UGAACUUAAGCAUAUCAAUAAGCGGAGGAAAAGAAACCAACAGGGAUUGCCUUAGUAGCGGCGAGUGAAGCGGCAAGAGCUCAAAUUUGAAAUCUGGUACUUUCAGUAUCCGAGUUGUAAUUUGAAGAAAGUUAUCUUGGAGUUGGCCCUUGUCUAUGUUCCUUGGAACAGGACGUCACAGAGGGUGAGAAUCCCGUGCGAUGGGGUGCCCAUUCUAUGUAAGAUACUUUCGACGAGUCGAGUUGUUUGGGAAUGCAGCUCUAAGUGGGUGGUAAAUUCCAUCUAAAGCUAAAUAUUGGCGAGAGACCGAUAGCGAACAAGUACAGUGAUGGAAAGAUGAAAAGAACUUUGAAAAGAGAGUGAAAAAGUACGUGAAAUUGUUGAAAGGGAAGGGUAUUUGAUCAGACUGAUAUUCAGUUAACACUGUUCCUUGUGGACGGUGCUCUAGCUUUUUAUUGGGCCAGCAUCAGUUUAGGUGGCAGGAUAAGAACUGUUGAACGUGGCUCUUCGGAGUGUUAUAGCUUCAGUUGAUACUGCCUAUCUAGACUGAGGUCUGCGGCUUUGCCUAG